CACAGCACGCUUACUGAGCAGGGUCAUCUAUGAUGCUUACACACAGCACGCUUACUGAGCAGGGUCAUGCAUGAUGCAGACAUAAUGUCUCCAUGAUAUUGAACCAUCAGCACCACGUUUACAUGUGAUGAUAAUUUUCCUGCAAAGAGAACAGCAACCUGAGAGGUCAUUUAUUGCCAUCAUUAUUGUUAUUAUCCAAAGUCAUUUUAAGCAGUUCAGUAAAUAUUCAAGACGUAUGGAAUGUGUACAGGAAGCAAAAGUUCUCUCACGUAAAAGCUUGAAGUGAAAAUGAAAGUAGUAGUGCUCAGGGCUGCAUCAUUGACCUUGCUGUGACCGUAGUUCUCAGGCUGACUCCCCUUGAGGUCACUUCCACUGUGACUUCCUGCUCCACUCCAGCCUCCAUGCGUCUGCUCUCUCCAGUCUCACCCUCUGCUGUAGCGUGGGAGGCGCUGGAGGGGUCAGCCUUCCUGUGCUGUGGUCCCUGUCUGAGCCAGGCUACAAGGGCAAAUCUAAAGCGUGGGUCUUGGUUUGGAGAGCUGAAAGCCUUACAUAACCAUUGUGAAAGUAUGACAUUAACGCCUUUAGCUCUUCUUGGCUCUGGCAAGACUGAACUCCACACAUUGACAGUCUUUGUUUUUUUUUGUUUUUUGUUAAAGAUGUCAUGAUUAACACUUUUAUGUCAUACCUCAAGCGACUGUCCUUUGAGCACUUCAUUAGCUACCCUCUCACUAUGUGCAGUGCAGAUCUGCAAAGAUCUGGAUGGUAGGGUUAUCCUUCUCUUUGAUUAGCUAAAACAGUUGCUGUAUUACUGUAUUAACUAAUUACGCAUCAUGUACAUUUACUUUUCACAACUUCUUCCUAAUAUGGGAACAGGGAGAGUGUGAGUGUUUGCCACAGUGCUAGCCAUAGUGAUAGUAAUGUACACUACCAAAGAAGACCAAAGACUCAAAAGACCAUUCAUGUAAAUAAUUACCAAAACAGGUCCAAGAAUUGAACCCUGUGGUACCAGAAAUAGUCCUUCUAGACCUGCAUCCAUUAACAGAGAUAAUGCUCUCUGCUCCCUAAAGACCUACACAACAGCCAGAGUGAAUAUGCAGUGCAGCAGGAGCCACGGUCAUCCUUAAUAUCCUUGCGGAAAUAUUUUCAAUUCGUUUAGAAUUAAGUUGAUCUACAGAGAAGCUAUAUGAACAAGUAAAAAUGUUUACAUUUCAGUGUAACAAUGUGAACAAAGGUUUUCAAUUAUCCCUGGUCUCCCAAUUAUAAGUUUCCUUACAGUUAUUUCACCUCCAGCGAACAACCUAGGGUUCAGCUGACAACAAAACAAGUUGCUAAACAUUUUUCAAUACUGUGGAGGCAGAUGAUGUAAUAACACAUGCAACAGGCAGAUGAUGUAAUAACACAUGCAACAGGCAGAUUGUACAAUGCAAGCUUCCAAGGUUGAAUGUGUCUUCUGUAAUGAAUAUGAAUUAUAAGAAUACUGACAAUAAAACAAAAUGUUGCAAAAACAAAA
Clupea harengus (Atlantic herring) is the source of this 1510-nucleotide long non-coding RNA. Lineage: Eukaryota; Metazoa; Chordata; Actinopteri; Clupeiformes; Clupeidae. The record is from Ensembl.